UUAAAAAUAAGUUAAAUACACAAAACUACGGGUUUGUGGAGCCCGAUAUCCUUCAGGUUUUUGAG
Molecule: transfer RNA, 65 nt
Filed under: Biomphalaria glabrata
Lineage: Eukaryota; Metazoa; Mollusca; Gastropoda; Planorbidae
Description: tRNA-His
Source: RNAcentral